This 506-nucleotide ribosomal RNA is filed under the name uncultured bacterium. Its description in RNAcentral is "partial 16S ribosomal RNA". It matches the Rfam family "Bacterial small subunit ribosomal RNA", at positions 29 to 523 of the family's 1533-position model. The record is from RNAcentral.
AGUGAACGCUGGCGGUAGGCCUAACACAUGCAAGUCGAACGGCAGCACAGGAGAGCUUGCUCUCUGGGUGGCGAGUGGCGGACGGGUGGGGAAUACAUCGGAAUCUACUUUUUCGUGGGGGAUAACGUAGGGAAACUUACGCUAAUACCGCAUACGACCUACGGGUGAAAGCAGGGGAUCUUCGGACCUUGCGCGACUGAAUGAGCCGAUGUCGGAUUAGCUAGUUGGCGGGGUAAAGGCCCACCAAGGCGACGAUCCGUAGCUGGUCUGAGAGGAUGAUCAGCCACACUGGAACUGAGACACGGUCCAGACUCCUACGGGAGGCAGCAGUGGGGAAUAUUGGACAAUGGGCGCAAGCCUGAUCCAGCCAUACCGCGUGGGUGAAGAAGGCCUUCGGGUUGUAAAGCCCUUUUGUUGGGAAAGAAAUCCAGCUGGUUAAUACCCGGUUGGGAUGACGGUACCCAAAGAAUAAGCACCGGCUAACUUCGUGCCAGCAGCCGCAGUAA